CCUACGGGAGGCAGCAGUGAGGAAUAUUGGUCAAUGGUCGCGAGACUGAACCAGCCAAGCAGCGUGAAGGAUGAAUGUACUGAGUGUUGUAAACUUCUUUUAUCAGGGAAUAAAGACUGGCACGCGUGCCCUUUUGUAUGUACCUUAUGAAAAAGCAUCGGCUAACUCCGUGCCAGCAGCCGCGGUAAUACGGAGGAUCCGAGCGUUAUCCGGAUUUAUUGGGGUUAAAGGGAGCGUAGAUGGGCUGUUAAGUCAGUUGUGAAAGUUUGCGGCUCAACCGUAAAAUUGCAUUUGAAACUGGCAGCCUGGAGUACAGUAGAGGUACGCGGAAUGCGUGGUGUAGCGGUGAAAUGCUUAGAUAUCACGAAGAACUCCGAUUGCGAAGGCAGCCUACUAAACUGCCACUGACAUUGAGGCUCGAAAGUGUGGGUAUCAAACAGGAUUAGAUACCCUUGUAGUC
Molecule: ribosomal RNA, 460 nt
Filed under: uncultured bacterium
Lineage: Bacteria
Description: partial 16S ribosomal RNA
Rfam family: Bacterial small subunit ribosomal RNA
Source: RNAcentral